GAUGAACGCUGGCGGCGUGCCUAAUACAUGCAAGUCGAGCGAACAGAUGAGGAGCUUGCUCCUCUGACGUUAGCGGCGGACGGGUGAGUAACACGUGGAUAACCUACCUAUAAGACUGGGAUAACUUCGGGAAACCGGAGCUAAUACCGUAUAAUAUAUUGAACCGCAUGGUUCAAUAGUGAAAGACGGUUUUGCUGUCACUUAUAGAUGGAUCCGCGCCGCAUUAGCUAGUUGGUAAGGUAACGGCUUACCAAGGCAACGAUGCGUAGCCGACCUGAGAGGGUGAUCGGCCACACUGGAACUGAGACACGGUCCAGACUACUACGGGAGGCAGCAGUAGGGAAUCUUACGCAAUGGGCGAAAGCAUGACGGAGCAACGCCGCGUGAGUGAUGAAGGUCUUCGGAUCGUAAAACUCUGUUAUUAGGGAAGAACAAAUGUGUAAGUAACUAUGCACGUCUUGACGGUACCUAAUCAGAAAGCCACGGCUAACUACGUG
Molecule: ribosomal RNA, 497 nt
Filed under: uncultured bacterium
Lineage: Bacteria
Description: partial 16S ribosomal RNA
Rfam family: Bacterial small subunit ribosomal RNA
Source: RNAcentral